GAGAGGAUGAUCCGCCACACUGGGACUGAGACACGGCCCAGACUCCUACGGGAGGCAGCAGUGGGAAUUUUGGACAAUGGGCGGAAGCCUGAUCCAGCCAUGCCGCGUGAGUGAAGAAGGACCUUCGGGUUGUAAAGCUCUUUCGGCCGGGAAGAAAUCGCAUGGGUCAAUACCCUGUGUGGAUGACGGUACCGGAAUAGAAGCACCGGCUAACUACGUGCCAGCAGCCGCGGUAAUACGUAGGGUGCGAGCGUUAAUCGGAAUUACUGGGCGUAAAGCGUGCGCAGGCGGUUUGGUAAGUCAGAUGUGAAAUCCCCGGGCUCAACCUGGGAACUGCAUUUGAGACUGCCAAGCUGGAGUUUGGCAGAGGGGGUGGAAUUCCACGUGUAGCAGUGAAAUGCGUAGAGAUGUGGAGGAACACCGAUGGCGAAGGCAGCCCCCUGGGCCAAUACUGACGCUCAUGCACGAAAGCGUGGGGAGC
RNAcentral lists this ribosomal RNA (481 nucleotides) under uncultured bacterium. RNAcentral's name for it is "bacterial SSU rRNA". It matches the Rfam family "Bacterial small subunit ribosomal RNA", at positions 294 to 769 of the family's 1533-position model. The record is from RNAcentral.